AGUGAACGCUGGCGGUAGGCCUAUCACAUGCAAGUCGAACGGCAGCACAGUAAGAGCUUGCUCUUACGGGUGGCGAGUGGCGGACGGGUGAGGAAUACAUCGGAAUCUACUUUUUCGUGGGGGAUAACGUAGGGAAACUUACGCUAAUACCGCAUACGACCUACGGGUGAAAGCAGGGGAUCUUCGGACCUUGCGCGAUUGAAUGAGCCGAUGUCGGAUUAGCUAGUUGGCGGGGUAAAGGCCCACCAAGGCGACGAUCCGUAGCUGGUCUGAGAGGAUGAUCAGCCACACUGGAACUGAGACACGGUCCAGACUCCUACGGGAGGCAGCAGUGGGGAAUAUUGGACAAUGGGCGCAAGCCUGAUCCAGCCAUACCGCGUGGGUGAAGAAGGCCUUCGGGUUGUAAAGCCCUUUUGUUGGGAAAGAAAAGCAGCAGGUUAAUACCCCGCUGUUCUGACGGUACCCAAAGAAUAAGCACCGACUAACUUCGUG
RNAcentral lists this ribosomal RNA (492 nucleotides) under uncultured bacterium. RNAcentral describes it as "partial 16S ribosomal RNA". It matches the Rfam family "Bacterial small subunit ribosomal RNA", at positions 29 to 507 of the family's 1533-position model. The record is from RNAcentral.